RNAcentral lists this ribosomal RNA (305 nucleotides) under uncultured bacterium. Its description in RNAcentral is "bacterial SSU rRNA". It matches the Rfam family "Bacterial small subunit ribosomal RNA", at positions 333 to 635 of the family's 1533-position model. The record is from RNAcentral.
CUGUUCCAACGGGGCGCAGCAGUGAGGAAUAUUGGUCAAUGGGCGCGAGCCUGAACCAGCCACGUAGCGUGAAGGAUGACUGCCCUACGGGUUGUAAACUUCUUUUAUAAAGGAAUAAAGUGAGGCACGUGUGCCUUUUUGUAUGUACUUUAUGAAUAAGGAUCGGCUAACUCCGUGCCAGCAGCCGCGGUAAUACGGAGGAUCCGAGCGUUAUCCGGAUUUAUUGGGUUUAAAGGGAGUGUAGAUGGGUUGUUAAGUCAGUUGUGAAAGUUUGCGGCUCAACCGUAAAAUUGCAAUUGAUAUUG